RNAcentral lists this transfer RNA (62 nucleotides) under Phyllidiopsis krempfi. Its description in RNAcentral is "tRNA-Ser". The record is from RNAcentral. Lineage: Eukaryota; Metazoa; Mollusca; Gastropoda; Nudibranchia; Phyllidiidae.
AAAUUUUGUUUUAAUUUAGGUUUUGAAAACCUAUAAAGAGAAAUAAACUUUCUCAGCAUUUA